AUACGGAGGGGGCAAGCGUUGUUCGGAAUUAUUGGGCGUAAAGGGCGCGUAGGCGGCACUGUAAGUCGGUUGUGAAAUCCCUUGGCUCAACCAAGGAACUGCAACCGAAACUACAGAGCUAGAGUCCGGGAGAGGGUAGUGGAAUUCCCAGUGUAGCGGUGAAAUGCGUAGAUAUUGGGAGGAACACCAGUGGCGAAGGCGGCUACCUGGCUUGAUACUGACGCUGAGGUGCGAAAGCGUGGGGAGCGAACAGGAUUAGAUACCCCAGUAGUCC
RNAcentral lists this ribosomal RNA (274 nucleotides) under uncultured bacterium. RNAcentral's name for it is "partial 16S ribosomal RNA". It matches the Rfam family "Bacterial small subunit ribosomal RNA", at positions 523 to 796 of the family's 1533-position model. The record is from RNAcentral.